RNAcentral lists this ribosomal RNA (1120 nucleotides) under Escherichia coli. Its description in RNAcentral is "partial 23S ribosomal RNA". It matches the Rfam family "Bacterial large subunit ribosomal RNA", at positions 351 to 1478 of the family's 2925-position model. Lineage: Bacteria; Pseudomonadati; Pseudomonadota; Gammaproteobacteria; Enterobacterales; Enterobacteriaceae. The record is from RNAcentral.
CGCGCGAUACAGGGUGACAGCCCCGUACACAAAAAUGCACAUAUUGUGAGCUCGAUGAGUAGGGCGGGACACGUGGUAUCCUGUCUGAAUAUGGGGGGACCAUCCUCCAAGGCUAAAUACUCCUGACUGACCGAUAGUGAACCAGUACCGUGAGGGAAAGGCGAAAAGAACCCCGGCGAGGGGAGUGAAAAAGAACCUGAAACCGUGUACGUACAAGCAGUGGGAGCACGCUUAGGCGUGUGACUGCGUACCUUUUGUAUAAUGGGUCAGCGACUUAUAUUCUGUAGCAAGGUUAACCGAAUAGGGGAGCCGAAGGGAAACCGAGUCUUAACUGGGCGUUAAGUUGCAGGGUAUAGACCCGAAACCCGGUGAUCUAGCCAUGGGCAGGUUGAAGGUUGGGUAACACUAACUGGAGGACCGAACCGACUAAUGUUGAAAAAUUAGCGGAUGACUUGUGGCUGGGGGUGAAAGGCCAAUCAAACCGGGAGAUAGCUGGUUCUCCCCGAAAGCUAUUUAGGUAGCGCCUCGUGAAUUCAUCUCCGGGGGUAGAGCACUGUUUCGGCAAGGGGGUCAUCCCGACUUACCAACCCGAUGCAAACUGCGAAUACCGGAGAAUGUUAUCACGGGAGACACACGGCGGGUGCUAACGUCCGUCGUGAAGAGGGAAACAACCCAGACCGCCAGCUAAGGUCCCAAAGUCAUGGUUAAGUGGGAAACGAUGUGGGAAGGCCCAGACAGCCAGGAUGUUGGCUUAGAAGCAGCCAUCAUUUAAAGAAAGCGUAAUAGCUCACUGGUCGAGUCGGCCUGCGCGGAAGAUGUAACGGGGCUAAACCAUGCACCGAAGCUGCGGCAGCGACGCUUAUGCGUUGUUGGGUAGGGGAGCGUUCUGUAAGCCUGUGAAGGUGUGCUGUGAGGCAUGCUGGAGGUAUCAGAAGUGCGAAUGCUGACAUAAGUAACGAUAAAGCGGGUGAAAAGCCCGCUCGCCGGAAGACCAAGGGUUCCUGUCCAACGUUAAUCGGGGCAGGGUGAGUCGACCCCUAAGGCGAGGCCGAAAGGCGUAGUCGAUGGGAAACAGGUUAAUAUUCCUGUACUUGGUGUUACUGCGAAGGGGGGACGGAGA